GUGCCGUGCUGCUGGGUGCUUGUAUCUCUGGCACUAGUUCACUCACAGCUCAGUUGGUACCGGACGGUCGCCGCGCGUGGAACCCCGCCACGCUCCCCGCCGCUCUUCUCUACAUAGCGUCUUGUUGCUCUCUCAGGAUACCGUCACCACCAGCAGGAGGGAAACCCAACUAAACGAGAGAAAAAAAAAAGGAGAUACAGAAAGAGAGAAAGAAAAAGAUCUCCUAGAUAUUCUUGGUUGAAAUAGACUCAAAAGUUUAAGUGAAGUGAAGAAUAAAAGAAAAAUAUUCAACUUUUAUGUGAAGUGAGA
This is a long non-coding RNA of Homarus americanus (American lobster), 309 nucleotides long. RefSeq lists it as uncharacterized. The transcript has 2 exons. The record is from RefSeq and is a predicted model, not a curated record. NCBI's taxonomy places the organism in Eukaryota, Metazoa, Arthropoda, Malacostraca, Decapoda, Nephropidae.